Molecule: small RNA, 114 nt
Filed under: Klebsiella sp.
Lineage: Bacteria; Pseudomonadati; Pseudomonadota; Gammaproteobacteria; Enterobacterales; Enterobacteriaceae
Description: RtT sRNA
Rfam family: RtT RNA
About the family: This family represents a bacterial cis-regulatory element known as RtT RNA. The exact function of RtT is unknown although it is thought that it may be involved in changing the cellular response in relation to amino acid starvation.
Source: RNAcentral
UGCAUCUGUGGCCUGUGAGGAUGAGAACCUCCGGGGGCAGGAGGUUCGACUCGAGCGAAGCGAGAGAACGUUGCGUCAGCAACGGCGUGGUGAGUCAUCCUCUAUCACCGACCA